RNAcentral lists this ribosomal RNA (468 nucleotides) under uncultured bacterium. RNAcentral's name for it is "partial 16S ribosomal RNA". It matches the Rfam family "Bacterial small subunit ribosomal RNA", at positions 28 to 507 of the family's 1533-position model. The record is from RNAcentral.
GACGAACGCUGGCGGCGUGCUUAACACAUGCAAGUCGAACGGAAAGGCCCGGCUUUUGUGGGGUGCUCGAGUGGCGAACGGGUGAGUAACACGUGAGUAACCUGCCCUUGACUUUGGGAGAACUUCAGGAAACUGGGGCUAAUACCGGAUAGGAGCUCCUGCUGCAUGGGGGGGGUUGGAGAGAUUCGGCGGUGGGGGAUGGACACGCGGCUUAUCAGCUUGUUGGUGGGGUAGUGGCGUACCAAGGCAUUGACGGGUAGCCGGCCUGAGAGGGUGACCGGCCACAUUGGGACUGAGAUGCGGCCCAGACUCCUACGGGGGGCAGAAGUGGGGGAUAUUGCACGAUGGGCGGAAGCCUGAUGCAGCAACGCCGCGUGCGGGAUGCCGGCCUUCGGGUUGUAAACCGCUUUCGCCUGUGACGAAGCGUGAGUGACGGUAAUGGGUAAAGAAGCACCGGCUAACUACGUG